CUCGUAGGCGGUUCGUCGCGUCCGGUGUGAAAGUCCAUCGCUUAACGGUGGAUCCGCGUCGGGUACGGGCGGGCUUGAGUGCGGUAGGGGAGACUGGAAUUCCCGGUGUAACGGUGGAAUGUGUAGAUAUCGGGAAGAACACCAAUGGCGAAGGCAGGUCUCUGGGCCGUUACUGACGCUGAGGAGCGAGAGCGUGGGGAGCGAACA
Molecule: ribosomal RNA, 207 nt
Filed under: uncultured bacterium
Lineage: Bacteria
Description: partial 16S ribosomal RNA
Rfam family: Bacterial small subunit ribosomal RNA
Source: RNAcentral